This is an RNA transcript of Spinacia oleracea (spinach), 2537 nucleotides long. It is a transcript of the gene named ABC transporter B family member 11-like, with no coding region annotated. The transcript has 4 exons. NCBI's taxonomy places the organism in Eukaryota, Viridiplantae, Streptophyta, Magnoliopsida, Caryophyllales, Amaranthaceae. The record is from RefSeq and is a predicted model, not a curated record.
CAACAAAAAAAUCACUGGCCUUCUUCCACGCACCUCCUAAACAUUUCCCCACUUUCUCCAUCUUGCUCCCUUCCUUCCUUCCUUCCUUCCUUCCUUCUUCCACGCACCACUACUUCGACAGCAGUUAAUUAAGGAUCGGUUUCCCUACAAUCCCGAUACGAUUUCAAGAGUUCAAUCCCAAUUCACUCAAACCGAAAUUUCCCAAAUCCAAAAUUAAAGAGUUCCCUUCAAUCCAAAUAGCAGAUUUUUUCGUGUUUUAGCUCUUCCCGGCGAACUUUUCUCGGCGGCAGCUUAUUAUCUGGCGAUAGUACUUCCCGGCAGCGUGUGGUUGAAUUAUCAAUUGGAGGAAAGGGUCGGGAAAGAUUGGAAAGGUAGAAUUGCUGGACUGGAACCCAUGAACUUCUUAACUAUUGCAACUCCACAUCUGGGUUCACAGAGGUCAUAGACAGCUUGAAAGGAUCUUCCAGUACGUGUUCCUGCCACCUGAGAAUAAUACUAGCAGAAAGAAACAUGAGCUUGUUGCCUGAUUUCCCCUUCCUAAUGGUAAUACUAAUUGAAUGAUUGAUUGCUUUUUGUGGUAACUGUUAAAAAGUGUAUUUGCGAAACAUUUAGCUUCUGAUUAUGAUGAAAAGUUCUGCAUGGGCUUGUUAGCUUUUGCCAACAAUUGUAACACCUCGAUACUAUCUGGCAUUGUACAUGGAUAACUGAUAUAUCAUGUAAAGAGUUACCAUUUUUCCUGUAAAAAUGAUUCAGAUAAGAACUUUAGUUUGCCAGUGGUUUUUAUUUUCUUCCACAUUCGUGUGGAAAGUUCUCCUGUCGUUCCGUGGCGCUUUAGCCAUUAGGUACUUGCAUAAAUGAGUAUAGAAAGUUGAUGUACUGUGUUCAGUUGACCUGCAUAAUAGUGUAUCCUUUGCUUCGCACUUCCCAAACCCAAUAAAUGGAAUUCAGCUUUGUGCAAAAUGCAGUUAAGGAUUCUCUUCAUUUUCGAUGGAAAUGUGUACUUAUCCAAAAAAUAUUUGUAGUACCAGAUUUUACUGCAGUUAUGGAUUGGAUCCUCUUGUCUGAAAUUAGGUUAAUUGCAACAGAUGUUUACUUUAGUGAUGAACUAGACCAAAUGAGCAAAUUUUUAUUAAUUUUUCUGGGUUGCUUAUUGCUGCAAUUGCUGGGUUGCUUAUUGCUUUCCUUGCAAAUUGGAUUUUGGCAUUCAUUGUCCUUGGAUUAAUACCCUUAAUAGGCCUUAACGGAUACAUCCAAAUGAAAUUUAUCAAGGGAUUCAGUGCAGAUGCAAAGGUUCUAUCUAUCUCUCUCUCUCACUCUUCCUCAUUCCUCAACGAGAGGAACAUAUUGUAUAUAUCAAGCUUAACUAAUUGACAUAUGUCUUUGUGGCCGGUGUCUUGCAGAACAAGUAUGAAGAGGCAAGCCAAGUUGCUAAUGAUGCAGUUGAGAGUGUAAGAACAGUUGCUUCUUUUUGUGCCGAGGAGAAGGUAAUGCAGUUGUAUGAAAAGAAAUGUGAGGCUCCUGUGGAAGCCGGUAUAAAGCAAGAAAUAAUUAGUGGGGCAGGUUUCGGAGUGUCAUUUGCUUUGCUAUUUUUUGUCUAUGCCAUCAGUUUCUAUGCAGAAGCUCAACUCACAGGGAAUGGAAAAACUACCUUUACCAAGGUCUUUCGCGUAAGUAUCUAUUUGUUUUUUAAAAUUCCAUAUAUAUGAAUAAAAUGUUAAAUGCAACUACGUACGUACUGCAUGUUUUCUUCGCUCUUACCAUGGCAGCGAUAGGAAUACCACAAUCUAGCUCCUUUGCUCCUGAUAGUAGUAAAGCCAAGAGUGUUGCUGCCUCAGUAUUUUCAAUCCUUGAUCGUAAGUCUAAGAUAAACCCAAGUGAUGAAUCUGGGAUGAUCUUGGAUAAAGGUGAAAUUGAGCUUCGGCAUCUGAGGUUUUCAUAUCCAACUAGACAUGAUAUUCAGAUUUUUCGAGAUCUAAGAUUGAGCUUCGUCGAACAGCAGUUAGACGAAUCAACUCAACAAGCGCUUCAUCCAAAACAUCCAGUGCACCGGAACUGUGUAGAUUAUGGUAAACAAGGGCAAUCCUGUUUUCUGCAACAUAAACCAAAUCCCAUUGAGAGAAUUUAGCAGCAAGUUGGAUUGCAUCAAUUGCCAAAACGGGUGAGUCCAAGGAAGACAACAACAAGUUGGAUUACUUCAAUUGCCAAAACUGGUGAGUCCAAGGAAGACAAUGAUCACUCUUGAACGCACAUUCUGAACAUCAUUAAAAAACCAGUGUGCAGUGGCCAACAAAGCUCUAUGUAUAGGCGUAUGACAUCAUACAAAUAUACAUUGUUCUAAUUUUAGUGUGUAGAUUUGAAAUAAUAUGGCACAUGUGGUUCUUUCUCUUUUGUUGUUAUUUGUUUUUCUACCGCGUCGACAACAUUGUAUAGGAUUUUAAGUUAAGAGAUAUCGAGACGUUUAUUUGGUAUGAUAGAAAUUAAAUUUGAUGUUAUAUAUAACAAAUAUAUAUAUAAUUUUUUACUAUUUUAUAUUUGUG